AUUGUCAUUCAUGGUUUGUUGAAAGAGUAAUUGGAGAUUGAGUUGUAUGCAUAUGUUCAUGUGUGGAUAAGGAAUCCUCUAACUAGCUUCUCACCAUUCUAUUUAAUCACAAUCUGUUUUGCUUUACAUUUGUUUUUAAAGUUUGAGUUUUAAAGUUUUAAUUUCGUCAAAAUCAUUCCCCCAUUUAUUUUAAAGUGUUAGAUUAGUUAGAAAUCCAUUUAGUUGUGUUUAAGUGUUUUGAGUUAAGUCAUAGUCCAAAUUCGUCCAAACUAGUGUUAGGUACUCAAAACUGCCCAGAAAGUGGUUUU
This 308-nucleotide long non-coding RNA is filed under the name Malus domestica (apple). RNAcentral's name for it is "long non-coding RNA (MDOM_LNC020333)". The record is from RNAcentral. Lineage: Eukaryota; Viridiplantae; Streptophyta; Magnoliopsida; Rosales; Rosaceae.